GAUGUUUAUCCUUAUCGAGGUUAUUUCUCACCUGAAACCUUUGUCGGAUCUGUAAUUGGUGGCACUUUAUUUGGAUCACUCAUCACAAACUUUAUUUUCCUCUGUGUUCUGAGAAGUAAACAAAGAAAACAGAAAAGACGAAACCGACUUUUACAUAAUCUGCAAAAUCCAGCCUAUGAUCACGGAGUUGAUAAUCAAACACAAAAUGAUCUAGACCAAGGAAAGAAAAAAAUGCAUUAUACUGUGAGAUUAAUGAUGAAAUGCUAAAUCUCCCAACGGGCUCCAAUACAACUGGGAAUAAAGAACAACAGAGCUUCACUGGACAUCUCUCAACAGGAGACGAAACUCAUGCUUAUAAUCAUUUGUAUGAAGUAGAUAAAUUAAGAAGAGUUCAUCUUCAAAACAAUGUUGCCAUGCCAGAAUCAUGUUUUGCAGACAAUGGUGUUUCCAUACCAGAACCAUGCUCCUCGGAAUUGACUGAUGAAAAAAGCUUUAUGUCAUUUAAAGCUACAGAAAUCGAAAAUUCCUCGGGAAAAGUUGACAGAGAUGAGAAAGUUGACGCAGAAAAACAAAAUAAAAGUACCGGUCAAUACUAUGUUCUUGAGAAAACAACGUAGUUAUCGACAUAAACAUAAGAACAUUACAACUGUAAUUAGACUACCAAGCAUAAAAAAGAAUUAUUGUACUUUAGAAUUAUACUGUUACUUUGAUUGGUUUGAUGCAUGUCAUGUGCAUUGAUGUAUUCAUUACGCUCAGGAUGCCAACUGCUUGGUCUCCAUUCAAAUAAUUAUGAAAUAGUGUUACUAAUGGUGCAUUGUGUCAUUUGCAUAGUUUUACUUAUCAUGAAAACAAAUGCCAUAAGUCAAAUAACUCGUAUCAUCACAUCAUUUAUAUUUGCCAUAUCGUCAAACAAAACACUCUAGAUUCAGUUCUUUUUCGCUAUAUUUUGAAAGUGGUAACAUAUAUAGAAUCAGAGCAGUGGGUUGAGAAUAGUAAGAGGCUUGGUUCAUAUUUUCUAUACUGCUAAAUGCAAAUGAAUAUUCAUCAUGAUAAUAAAACUAUUUAUAUUUACUGCAAAAAUUAUGUUGAUAUCCGAGUUAUUACUUCUUUCCAUAAUACUCUCGUCAGUAGAACGCCUUAUCCCAUUCUCAUUCAAACCCUUCAAGGUGACUCAGUCGGUAGAGCGCUCAAAUUAUAUGAUCGGCGAUCGUGAGUUCGAAUCUCGGCUGGGACUGACCUAUAUUGAUUAAAAAAAACAUUGUAGCAACUGUUUCUUGCUUGCUUGUUCCUGCUUUUCAUUCUAAAGUGAAAGUUGUGGGUCCUUCGUAUGAGACCUUAAAAACUGAGGCACCGUGUCACGGCAAGCGUUGGCACGAAAAAGUCCUCUCACUGCUUAGUACCCCUGAGUUCCAAACAAUGAUCAAAAUUUGAGACCCUUCGCUGGUAUAUAUAUAGUGGCGUCUCUAUAUGAGUGAAAAAUUGUCGAAUGGGAAUUCAAACAAUAAACAUUAAAUCAACCUUAUUCUCCUUCAACGUAGAAAAAUUCUGUAAAACAGCUUUCGUGUUCUGCUUCUUUUUACGUUUCAUAAUUUUUUAGAAUUCUCAAAAGUAUAAUUAUUAAUUAACUAUAGCAAAUAAUUUUAGCAAACACAAAAGAAGAAAAUGAGAAAUAUAUUAAUUUUAUAAAAGAAGGUAAUCCAAA
Saccostrea cuccullata (small rock oyster) is the source of this 1702-nucleotide long non-coding RNA. RefSeq lists it as uncharacterized. NCBI's taxonomy places the organism in Eukaryota, Metazoa, Mollusca, Bivalvia, Ostreida, Ostreidae. The transcript has 3 exons. The record is from RefSeq and is a predicted model, not a curated record.